Unclassified non-coding RNA from Pongo abelii (Sumatran orangutan), 148 nucleotides. It matches the Rfam family "Metazoan signal recognition particle RNA". From Rfam's summary of the family: The signal recognition particle (SRP) is a universally conserved ribonucleoprotein. It is involved in the co-translational targeting of proteins to membranes. NCBI's taxonomy places the organism in Eukaryota, Metazoa, Chordata, Mammalia, Primates, Hominidae. The record is from Ensembl.
GCUGGGCGUGGUAGUGCGUGCCUGUAGUCCCUGCUACUUGGGAGGCUGAGGCAGGAGAAUCGCUUGAACCCAGGAGGUGGAGGUUGCAGUGAGCCGAGAUUACACUACUGCAUUCCAGCCUGGGUGACAGAGCGAGACUCUGCCUCAA